Molecule: ribosomal RNA, 529 nt
Filed under: uncultured Nitrososphaerota archaeon
Lineage: Archaea; Thermoproteati; Nitrososphaerota
Description: bacterial SSU rRNA
Rfam family: Archaeal small subunit ribosomal RNA
Source: RNAcentral
CUGGUGUCAGCCGCCGCGGUAAUACCAGCACCUCGAGUGGUCAGGACGUUUAUUGGGCCUAAAGCAUCCGUAGCCGGCUCUGCAAGUCUUCGGUUAAAUCCACCUGCUCAACAGAUGGGCUGCUGGAGAUACUACAGAGCUAGGGAGUGGGAGAGGCAGACGGUAUUCAGUGGGUAGGGGUAAAAUCCUCUGAUCCAUUGAGGACCACCAGUGGCGAAGGCGGUCUGCCAGAACACGUUCGACGGUGAGGGAUGAAAGCUGGGGGAGCAAACCGGAUUAGAUACCCGGGUAGUCCCAGCUGUAAACGAUGCAAACUCGGUGAUGCAUUGGCUUAUGGCCAAUGCAGUGCCGCAGGGAAGCCGUUAAGUUUGCCGCCUGGGAAGUACGUACGCAAGUAUGAAACUUAAAGGAAUUGGCGGGGGAGCACCACAAGGGGUGAAGCCUGCGGUUCAAUUGGAGUCAACGCCAGAAAUCUUACCCGGAGCGACAGCAGAAUGAAGGUCAAGCUGAAGACUUUACCAGACAAGCU